RNAcentral lists this microRNA precursor (85 nucleotides) under Alligator mississippiensis (American alligator). RNAcentral's name for it is "microRNA ami-mir-9 precursor (ami-mir-9-3)". Its record names the gene ami-mir-9-3. It matches the Rfam family "mir-9/mir-79 microRNA precursor family". Rfam says of the family: The mature ~21nt miRNAs are processed from hairpin precursor sequences represented here. miR-9 is processed from the 5' arm of its precursor, and miR-79 from the 3' arm. The record is from miRBase by way of RNAcentral. Lineage: Eukaryota; Metazoa; Chordata; Crocodylia; Alligatoridae.
AGGGCUGUUUCUGUCUUUGGUUAUCUAGCUGUAUGAGUGUUCUCGAGCCGUCAUAAAGCUAGAUAACCGAAAGUAGAAAUGACUU